RNAcentral lists this ribosomal RNA (268 nucleotides) under uncultured bacterium. RNAcentral's name for it is "partial 16S ribosomal RNA". It matches the Rfam family "Bacterial small subunit ribosomal RNA", at positions 92 to 354 of the family's 1533-position model. The record is from RNAcentral.
CGACCGGCGCACGGGUGAGUAACACGUGGGCAACCUGCCCAAAAGAGGGGGAUAACACUUGGAAACAGGUGCUAAUACCGCAUAACCAUAGUUACCGCAUGGUAACUAUGUAAAAGGUGGCUAUACUACCGCUUUUGGAUGGGCCCGCGGCGCAUUAGCUAGUUGGUAGGGUAAAGGCUUACCAAGGCAAUGAUGCGUAGCCGAAUUGAGAGGUUGGUCGGCCACAUUGGGACUGAGACACGGCCCAAACUCCUACGGGAGGCAGCAG